AACUCACAACAAUCUACAGCCAAAGCACAAUACUAAAGUGUUAUUUUACAUGUCCAAGAAAACUUUAUAACAUACUUUAAUAGUGCUAAACCACUGCAAAAUCUUCUCCACAAAUUCUUUUAUUCCUACUAUUCCGCGCCUAGGUUUAAGGGCAAGGGGUAAGCUUUGGGAAGCUUAGUAAGCAAACUAGCAAAUAUUCAUUUUUCAUAUAAUUCAAUUCAUACAUAUGCAAUGCAUCAAUCACAUGAGUUUAUACAACACAAACAAUUCACAUAAGAUAGACUUGUCACCAAUGAUUUUUCGUAACCACUUUGCUCGACUCAUAAAGAUGUUCCUCAGGACUUCCUCUUAAUACAUAACAUA
Molecule: unclassified non-coding RNA, 363 nt
Filed under: Hevea brasiliensis (rubber tree)
Lineage: Eukaryota; Viridiplantae; Streptophyta; Magnoliopsida; Malpighiales; Euphorbiaceae
Source: RNAcentral